This 554-nucleotide long non-coding RNA is filed under the name Elaeis guineensis (African oil palm). RNAcentral describes it as "long non-coding RNA (EGUI_LNC010291)". The record is from RNAcentral. Lineage: Eukaryota; Viridiplantae; Streptophyta; Magnoliopsida; Arecales; Arecaceae.
GUUAUAUUUACAAAAGCCAAGAAUGCCACUGAAGUGAGCUGCCCGAAUUCCAUUAGGAGAAAAAAAGUGUAAGAACCUGAGUUUUGUUCAAAUUAGAAAAGAAAAUCCUAGGGCUCAUCGGAUUUCGGUGAUACCCUAAGAUGUUCCCAAUAAAAAGAAUGCCACCUCUUUCCUUUAGGUAUUGCCCCUCAUCCUUGAUCAAUCCGCCGUCAAAACACAUGGGAUUUCCCUUAAAUUUUCAUUGAGAUCUUUUGAUGGGCUACCAUUGAUUCCCUCACCAGAACAAGAUAAUCAGCCCCUACCUCUCUUCCAUCUAUAUCUCCAGAUCUCUUAGCCAUUGUUGAUGGUUUGAUUGUCACAAGUUGGUCACUGAUUCUAGCCAUGAAAGUGUCCCAUAUUUCAGGCUCCAUUUUGCUUAUUCUUUCCUUCAUCCACCGUUAGUCACCGUGGUCGUUAUUGCUGCCAUGAUCUUCACUCAGGGCUCACUGCUAGAGCUGCUGGGCCACUUCCACUAUGGUUCGCCACCAUGGGAGGUGGCCAGCAUAAAGUCCCCC